Molecule: long non-coding RNA, 1922 nt
Organism: Amphiprion ocellaris (clown anemonefish)
Lineage: Eukaryota; Metazoa; Chordata; Actinopteri; Pomacentridae
Source: Ensembl
UAUUGGUAUAAUAAUUCUUAUUGUUGUCUCUAAAACACCAGGGAGGGUCACUGAGGCACGGCUCGGCCUCCGUUCCACCGACGGUUCCACGGCUGCUGGGAAAGAAGAAGAAGAAGAAGAAGAAGAAGAAGAAGAAGAAGAAGAAGGUUCCACCACAGCUUCUGUCCUCAGGUUAGAACGUCUUUCUGGACUGUUCCUGGAGAUGUCCUCCACAGUUUUCACAUUAUUACGGGUCAUUCUGGACAGAUUUUGGAUAAUUUGGAACAAAUUUUGGACAAAUUUAGAAUAAUUUGGGAAAAUUUUUGAGUAAUUUUGAACACAUUUUGGAAAAAAAUGGUUAUUUUGAACCGAUUUUGAAUAAUUUUGGACAGAUUUUGGAUAAUUCUGUGGAAGUUUUGGGUAUUUUUGUAAUUUUUUUUGAUAAUUUUGGACAGAUUUUAGAUCUUUAUGAGAAAUUUUAGAUAAUUUUGAAGAGUUUAUUGAAUAAUUUUGGACAGAUUUGUAAUAAUUGUGGACAAAAUUUGAAUAAUUUUGGACAGAUUUCGAGUCACUUUGAUCGUUUCAGGUUUCAAUCUUUAUCAGACAGGUUUUCUGAGUCCUUUUGGACGACUGGACAUGUGGAACCUUCUAUUCCUCUCUCUGUAGGUCCACGCGUGAAUGAAGAACUUCUGGAGAACCCUUCACCUUCGACUCAGCGAUUCCCGUUUCCCGGCGCGGUGCGUUUGCGGUCGGCGUGUUAAACGGAGAAUCGACGGCGGCGGCAGGGAGGGAGAUGUGCGGCCGCUGCUCCCCUCCGCUCCUGAAAAAGGCAACUUUCUCCAGAUAUGAGGCUUCGCUGCGGCUGAUAUGACGCCGGGGGUUCUGGAGGAAGGAACCGGCCGUGGAACCGGAGCGGCUGGGAACGUCGCCGUGCUGCGGAUCACGUCCACCCGGUUACACCACGGUUGUAUUGCAUUUAUCACACAGUUAGGAGAACAAGAGUAACAUCGGGAACUACCAAACGAUUUCUGCGCAUUUCCUCCGCUGUCCUCGUCGUUUCCAUGGUGACGAAGCAGCUUUUGGUUCUGAAACGGGGAGAAGAAGAAGGAAGGAACGCCCCCCUACCGUCCCAGGAUGGACUCUUCCAGACCCCCAGGUAGCACCACAUGGUCCGGUCCACGGAGUCCUCAGAGAGCUGCUCCUGGUCUUUGUGCUCAGAGUCUGACGAGCAGAUUCACCAAAGUGCUGGACUUCAUCUCUGAUGUCUGAAGAGGAGUUCUAUCAACAUUCAGUCACUCUAGGCCACAUUUCAAGGAAUUUUCUAAAAUUUAUGAAGCGUUUUGCACUUUUUUCAAUAGAUUUUGCAGAAAUUUUGAAUCAUUUUAAACAAUUCUGCACAAGUUUCGAGUCAUUUUUGAUCAUUUAUAGACAAAUUUUCAGUCAUUUUCCAAAAGUUUAGUUAUUUAGGACACAAGUUGAGUAACUUGGAACAAUUUCAGACAUAAUUUUUUUGCAAUUUGUGAAGCAUUUAGCACUUUUUUCAACUGAUUUUCAACAAAUCUUGAAUAAUUCUGGACAGAUUUUGAAUAAUUUUUGAAAACAUUUUGGACAAUUUUGAACAAAUUUAGAUUUUUUUGGUAAUUUUGAACAGUUUGAAUAAUUUUGAACAAUUUAGAUUUUCUGGGUAAUUUUAAAGAGAUUUUGAAUAUUUUUGGACAAUUUUUAUAUAAUAUAUAUAAUAUUUAAAUAAUUCUGGACAAGUUUCGAGUCAUUUUUGAUCAUUGAUGAAUGGUUUUGAGCUCAUGUUGAAGCUUCUGGACACCUUCUGAGUGACUUUUCACAAUAGAUAGAUAUUUCCCACUGAUUUUGAGUAGUUUUGAACAAUUUUGGACAAGAUUCAGGCUAUUUUCAAUCAUUUGUGAAUCAUUUUGGACAACUUCCAA